UACGGGAGGCAGCAGUGGGGAAUAUUGCACAAUGGGCGAAAGCCUGAUGCAGCUAUGCCGCGUGUAUGAAGAAGGCCUUAGGGUUGUAAAGUACUUUCAUCGGGGAGGAAAAAACAAAACUAAUAAUUUUAUUUCUUGACGUUACCCGAAAAAGAAGCACCGGCUAACUCCGUGCCAGCAGCCGCGGUAAUACGGAGGGUGCUAGCGUUAAUCAGAAUUACUGGGCGUAAAGAGCACGUAGGUGGUUUUUUUAAGUCAGAUGUGAAAUCCCUGGGCUUAACCUAGGAACUGCAUUUUGAAACUGAAAUGCUAGAGUAUCGUAGAGGGAGGUAGAAUUCUAGGUGUAGCGGUGAAAUGCGUAGAUAUCUGGAGGAAUACCUGUGGCGAAAGCGGCCUCCUAAACGAAUACUGACACUGAGGUGCGAAAGCGUGGGGAGCAAACAGGGAUUAGAUACC
This 456-nucleotide ribosomal RNA is filed under the name uncultured bacterium. RNAcentral describes it as "bacterial SSU rRNA". It matches the Rfam family "Bacterial small subunit ribosomal RNA", at positions 340 to 786 of the family's 1533-position model. The record is from RNAcentral.